AAGAAUAAAAAAACAUUUAUUGAAGUUGCACAAAACAGAAAACCAAAACACAUCACCAGUCAAUGUUUACUGACCUAAUCUCACUGGUCUAUUCUCACUGACCUAAUGAUACCAGCAGAUUCCCAUUGACAUAAUGACAACUCUAAAACAGAAUUUCCUUUGCACUGCUGUCCUAAUAAAAGCUAGCAUGGAUUGGCUUUCUAAUCAUAGACAACUGAACGCAAUACAAAGGUUUAAAAUCAAAUCAACACUACAUUCAAUGUAAUCAUUAAAAUUAAGUAACUAGUACUCCCAAAUCCAAUCCACAUUUAAAAUUAGUUUCCUCUAUCAGAGAUAAAUAACUAAUGUUAAUUACAAAAAAAAAAUUUAAAAAAAAACAUUUAGAUUUUUCACUAAUUUUCACCCUUUAAAUGACAUUUGUUAUGAGCCUUUGUACUAUCUUCCAUUACAAAGUAAGCACAUACCUUCGUACUUGUGAUGUAUGUACUUGGAUCAAACGAAAACAAAAAGGUUAAAAAGACAACUUUAAACAGAUUCAGAAAAAUAAAAUUUAGAGACAAAACAAAGUUCUGUCACAUCAUCAAUCAAUUCAGUCA
Molecule: non-coding RNA, 596 nt
Organism: Biomphalaria pfeifferi
Lineage: Eukaryota; Metazoa; Mollusca; Gastropoda; Planorbidae
Source: the annotation of a GenBank genome assembly